RNAcentral lists this transfer RNA (63 nucleotides) under Falcolipeurus suturalis. RNAcentral's name for it is "tRNA-Lys". It matches the Rfam family "tRNA". From Rfam's summary of the family: Transfer RNA (tRNA) molecules are approximately 80 nucleotides in length. Their secondary structure includes four short double-helical elements and three loops (D, anti-codon, and T loops). The record is from RNAcentral. Lineage: Eukaryota; Metazoa; Arthropoda; Insecta; Psocodea; Philopteridae.
UAAGGAGAAGCUUAAUAGAGAAGCGUUGAACUUUUAAUUCAAAGAUGGGAAAUCCCUUCUUAG